This 253-nucleotide ribosomal RNA is filed under the name uncultured bacterium. Its description in RNAcentral is "partial 16S ribosomal RNA". It matches the Rfam family "Bacterial small subunit ribosomal RNA", at positions 524 to 776 of the family's 1533-position model. The record is from RNAcentral.
GACGAACCGUGCGAACGUUGUUCGGAUUCACUGGGCUUAAAGGGCGCGUAGGCGGGCCAUCAAGUCAGGGGUGAAAUCUUUCGGCUCAACCGGAAAAGUGCCUUUGAUACUGGCGGUCUGGAGGGAGGUAGGGGCGUGCGGAACUAACGGUGGAGCGGUGAAAUGCGUUGAUAUCGUUAGGAACUCCGGUGGCGAAGGCGGCACGCUAGACCUCUUCUGACGCUGAGGCACGAAAGCCAGGGGAGCGAACGGG